UCGCCUAUGUCACGGAACAAUUGAAGACCGGAAGAAGCUCGCGGAGUAGGGUAACUGCUCUUCCGCUUAGCUUAGCUAAACUGUUUACCAUGGCGGAGGCAGAUCGAUACCUUUGGACCAAGUCUCUCCAACCUACCUAAAUUGUCCUACGACGACGUCCUAAGGAUAGUAAAUCAGCACUUACGUGUCGAAACAUCUAAACUACGCAAAGGAUAUAAGUUAUUCUGGGAGAAGUACAUUUUUAAUUACAUAGACACAUGACUACCACUUCACAGGGGAGAAAAGCGUGCCUCUGUCGUGCACCAGUGUUCUGCAGUCGUGGACCAAGGACACAGGGGAUUCGCCCGGAACCCACUGACCAACUUGUGGUCAGGAAACCCAAGGUUUGGGUUAGGUGUUUUAUUUUAGCACAUACAUGGACACAUACCUCCUGAAUGCCAAGUAAAUAUGGCCGAGGGAUACACGCACCCCAUUAAAUUUAUUUAUUUCUGUUAAAUGUAUAUAUGUAAAUAUUUUAAUCAAAGAAUUGGAAACGAACAUUCCUGAACAUUUGUUUAAGGUAACACACUCUGAGCACCUUUAAAACAAGCCUGAAGACUUUUAUGUUUGCAUUAGCUUUCUGCUACAUCUUAAAUACAUUGCACUUUCUAAAAAGCUUUUUUAACUUUGCCUUUAUUUUCUAUUUUAAUACUAAAAUGCCUUUAACUUUCUAUUUUACUAAUUUCUCUGCAUAUUUUUUCUUUUACUUAUCUAUUUUAUUGUAUGACAAUGUUUGUAUGUGAAGCACUUUGAGUCUGCCCUUAUAAGUGCUAUAUAAAUAAAGUUGCCUUGCCUAACACACAGAACAUUUCAUUUCUUUCUGUUAAAUGUAAAUAUGUAUAUAUGUACAUUUAUAUUUAAAAAAAAGAACUGGAAACGAACAUUAAAUAAACAUUUGAAAAGGACGGAUGGAAACAAACACCAUUUUAAUUUCUUUCUGCUAAAUGUAAACAAAGAACAUUAAUAAACGUUUGAAAAUAGUCAUGUGACGUCAUGUGUGUUUUAAUGUGUAACACUGGGACAUCACCCUUAACAUCUAAAGGACCUUGAUAGUUAGACAUCAAGCAACAAUUUACCCACAGCUGAUUGACAGAGCCUGAAAGAGUCAGAGGAAUGGUCGUGUCCCAGAUAUGAUAUUCUUUGACCCUUCUGAUGGCCCUCUCCACCAAGAUUCUAAAUUGGGCGAUACUCACUGGUGAACCUGGCACCUCUUUUAAAUGGCGGCAUUAUGAGGGUGGCCCCAACUUCAGAAAGCAUCUUGUCGAUGACAAAGCCUUUGUCAGCCAUGCAUGCAUCUCCUGGCUGAAGUAGACUAAGGAUUCCUGACUGCUGUGUGAUUUCUCUGUCUGAUAUGGAACCAGUGUACAGCUUAGAAAUUAAGGUGAUAACUCCACAUGAAGCAAUGCCAAUCAGACCUUUGAAGGUGUUGGUAUUCUUGUAGUGGGAGAAUGUUUCAGACUGGAGGGUGAGUGAUGAGGGUGCCUCACACCUGAUUUCUGUGCAGUCUAGAAUCACUCGCACGUUAGGA
Molecule: long non-coding RNA, 1567 nt
Organism: Gadus macrocephalus (Pacific cod)
Lineage: Eukaryota; Metazoa; Chordata; Actinopteri; Gadiformes; Gadidae
Exons: 3
Source: RefSeq, a predicted model, not a curated record